Molecule: transfer RNA, 77 nt
Filed under: Thermosulfurimonas marina
Lineage: Bacteria; Pseudomonadati; Thermodesulfobacteriota; Thermodesulfobacteria; Thermodesulfobacteriales; Thermodesulfobacteriaceae
Description: tRNA-Arg
Rfam family: tRNA
About the family: Transfer RNA (tRNA) molecules are approximately 80 nucleotides in length. Their secondary structure includes four short double-helical elements and three loops (D, anti-codon, and T loops).
Source: RNAcentral
GCCCCCGUAGCUCAACUGGAUAGAGCAGCGGACUUCUAAUCCGCAGGUUGGGGGUUCGAGUCCUCCCGGGGGCGCCA